UACGAAGGGGGCUAGCGUUGCUCGGAAUUACUGGGCGUAAAGGGUGCGUAGGCGGGUCUUUAAGUCAGAGGUGAAAUCCUGGAGCUCAACUCCAGAACUGCCUUUGAUACUGAGGAUCUUGAGUUCGGGAGAGGUGAGUGGAACUGCGAGUGUAGAGGUGAAAUUCGUAGAUAUUCGCAAGAACACCAGUGGCGAAGGCGGCUCACUGGCCCGAUACUGACGCUGAGGCGCGAAAGCGUGGGGAGCAAACAGG
RNAcentral lists this ribosomal RNA (253 nucleotides) under uncultured bacterium. RNAcentral describes it as "partial 16S ribosomal RNA". It matches the Rfam family "Bacterial small subunit ribosomal RNA", at positions 524 to 776 of the family's 1533-position model. The record is from RNAcentral.